Molecule: ribosomal RNA, 471 nt
Filed under: uncultured Ascomycota
Lineage: Eukaryota; Fungi; Ascomycota
Description: eukaryotic LSU rRNA
Rfam family: 5.8S ribosomal RNA (bases 110-263)
Source: RNAcentral
UGGCGCAAAGUCGGGCCAGAGACUACCCCAUGUAAACUUCAAUUUUUAAUUGAAUUGUUAUUUUAAUACAGUUGUCAAUUUGUUUGAUUAAAUUCAAAAUAAUCUUCAAAACUUUCAACAACGGAUCCCUUGGUUCUCGCAUCGAUGAAGAACGCAGCGAAAUGCGAUAAGUAAUAUGAAUUGCAGAUUUUCGUGAAUCAUCGAAUCUUUGAACGCACAUUGCGCCCUUUGGUAUUCCAAAGGGCAUGCCUGUUUGAGCGUCAUUUCUCUCUCUAACCCUUGGGUUUGGUAUUGAGUGAUACUCUUAGUCGGAUUAGGCGUUUGCUUGAAAAGUAUUGGCAAGAGUGUACUAGAUAGUACUACCUGUUAUUCAAUGUAUUAGGUUUAUCCAACUCGUUGAACGACUGGGCGUAAGUUUCUGGUAAAUGGCUCGGCCUUACAACAACAAACAAGUUUGACCUCAAAUUCAGG